AUUGAACGCUGGCGGCAUGCUUUACACAUGCAAGUCGAACGGCAGCACGGGCUUCGGCCUGGUGGCGAGUGGCGAACGGGUGAGUAAUGCAUCGGAACGUGCCCAUUUGUGGGGGAUAACUACGCGAAAGCGUGGCUAAUACCGCAUACGCCCUGAGGGGGAAAGCGGGGGAGUUCUUCGGAACCUCGCGCAAUUGGAGCGGCCGAUGUCAGAUUAGCUUGUUGGUGAGGUAAAGGCUCACCAAGGCGACGAUCUGUAGCGGGUCUGAGAGGAUGAUCCGCCACACUGGAACUGAGACACGGUCCAGACUCCUACGGGAGGCAGCAGUGGGGAAUUUUGGACAAUGGGGGCAACCCUGAUCCAGCCAUGCCGCGUGAGUGAAGAAGGCCUUCGGGUUGUAAAGCUCUUUCGGCCGGGAAAAAAUCGCAUCAGUUAAUACCUGGUGUGGAUGAUGGUACCGGAAUAAGAAGCACCGGCUAACUACGUG
Molecule: ribosomal RNA, 487 nt
Filed under: uncultured bacterium
Lineage: Bacteria
Description: bacterial SSU rRNA
Rfam family: Bacterial small subunit ribosomal RNA
Source: RNAcentral